ACGCGUUGGGAGCUCUCCCAUAUGGUCGACCUGCAGGCGGCCGCGAAUUCACUAGUGAUUGGAAACAGAUGCUAAUACCGGAUAAUAACAGAUGAUGCCUAUCAACUGUUUAAAAGAUGGUUCUGCUAUCACUCUUGGAUGGACCUGCGGUGCAUUAGCUAGUUGGUAGGGUAACGGCCUACCAAGGCGAUGAUGCAUAGCCGAGUUGAGAGACUGAUCGGCCACAUUGGGACUGAGACACGGCCCAAACUCCUACGGGAGGCAGCAGUAGGGAAUCUUCCACAAUGGACGCAAGUCUGAUGGAGCAACGCCGCAUGAGUGAAGAAGGGUUUCGGCUCGUAAAGCUCUGUUGUUGGUGAAGAAGGACAGGGGUAGUAACUGACCUUUGUUUGACGGUAAUCAAUUAGAAAGUCACGGCUGACUACGUGCCAGCAGCCGCGGUAAUACGAUAAUCGAAUUCCCGCGGCCGCCAUG
RNAcentral lists this ribosomal RNA (474 nucleotides) under Lactobacillus iners. Its description in RNAcentral is "bacterial SSU rRNA". It matches the Rfam family "Bacterial small subunit ribosomal RNA", at positions 82 to 535 of the family's 1533-position model. The record is from RNAcentral. Lineage: Bacteria; Bacillati; Bacillota; Bacilli; Lactobacillales; Lactobacillaceae.